Molecule: long non-coding RNA, 499 nt
Organism: Gossypium raimondii (Peruvian cotton)
Lineage: Eukaryota; Viridiplantae; Streptophyta; Magnoliopsida; Malvales; Malvaceae
Exons: 2
Source: RefSeq, a predicted model, not a curated record
CACAGUAGCCCAAGCCAUAAUAGUGAGUGAGCUCAGAAAUUUCUUUAAAAUCUUGAAUUUGGAUUUCAAGAUGUGAGUGCAGAAAUCUUGCUGGGAAAACAAGUGAACGAAGCAGUUCUUAUUUAAUAGAAUAAGAAUACAAACAGAAAGGAUGUUGUCGAGAAUUUUGCUCUCAAGAUUGGGUCCAAAAACAAAGAUGAUCUUCCAAGUUGUAUUAAAAGAUCAACGUGCAUUUUAAACAAGUGGUGGUCGCUCCAAAAAAUUAGGUUAAAGAUAGAGAAAAUCAUAGAAAGAAUUAACGACUUGGUCCGAUGAUUACAGACCUCUCAUAUAAACGAAUUAAAGGAUGGAGAAAAAGGAUCAAGAUCUUCAACUGAAAAGAGAGAAUUAAGGUGCCCUUAUCCUCAUGUUAUGGAUGAUAAUAUUCUCGACCACUCUUGCUAAAAAAAUGUAUCAUCAUCAUCAGGUUAUUGAUAAUUUCGAUCACUCAGCUUUCAUA